RNAcentral lists this ribosomal RNA (654 nucleotides) under Triticum aestivum (bread wheat). RNAcentral describes it as "partial small subunit ribosomal RNA". The record is from RNAcentral. Lineage: Eukaryota; Viridiplantae; Streptophyta; Magnoliopsida; Poales; Poaceae.
AUGCGGACACACGACGUAGUCUUUGCCACGCGGCCGUGGAGCCCCACCAUGAAGAUCAUGGUCUCUGAAGGGGAAGGGCUGGUAUUCGCACGCUACGGCACCCUGUGGCGGCAGCUCCGCAAGAUCUGCGUCCAGGAGCUUCUCAGCGCGCGCCGCGUGCAGUCGUUCCGCCACAUCAGGGAGGACGAGGUCGGCCGCCUCGUGGCUGCUGUUGCGGCGGUGCCGCCCGGGGAGCCCGUGAACGUGAGCGAGCGGAUCUCCGUGGUCAUCGCCGAUUCGGCGGUGCGCGCCAUGAUCGUGGACAGGUUCAAGAGGCGGGAGGAGUUCUUGCAGUCACUCGAGGAAGCGCUGAAGCUCGCCACCGGGUUCAACCUUGGCGACUUGUUCCCGUCAUCAUGGCUCGCGAAUUUCAUCAGCGGCACGGCACGGCUGGCGGAGGAAAACCACCGCAAGAACUUCGAGCUCAUGGAGUACGCGAUCAAGCAACACGAAGAGCAGAGGAGCGCCGCCUCAGCCAACGGCGGCGUGGAGGAAGGAGUAGAGGACCUAGUCGACACGCUCUUGAGGAUUCGAAAGGAGGGUGGCCUGAACGUGCCUCUCACCAUGGGAACAGUCAAAGCAGUUAUACUUGAUGUAUUUGGUGCUGGGAGCUAG